RNAcentral lists this long non-coding RNA (1345 nucleotides) under Gallus gallus (chicken). Its description in RNAcentral is "lncRNA (ENSGALG00010007343.1)". The record is from RNAcentral. Lineage: Eukaryota; Metazoa; Chordata; Aves; Galliformes; Phasianidae.
UGAGUAUUUGGCCUGUAGAAAUUUCCCAGUAUCUUCGUCUGUUGACACAAAGCCCCUGUUUUACAUUCCCACUCUACCCCAUGUGUUUCCUCUCUCAAAAGCAGAGAAAACUGAACUAAAAGUUUGGAAAUCGUGUGCUCUGGAAGUGGAAUAAGUGGCGUCAAAGGAGUGAAGCUAUUUCCCAAAAUGUAGUUGUGUUUCUGCAUCGCAGCUGGAACUCGUGUCAUGGAAAGCUGGGCAGAUACUGAACACAAAAAGUUCUUCAGCCCGUGAUGCCCUCAGCAAUGUGAUGGAAUGGAUUUUUCUGUCAGCAGACAUUCAGACCAAGGAUGGAAGUUUUUCACACAGAGGGUGGUGAUGCACUGGAAGAGGCUGCCCAAGGAGGUUGUGGAUGCCCCAUCCCUGGAGGCAUUCGAGGCCAGGCUGGAUGUGGCUCUGGGCAGCCUGGUCUGGUGGUUGGCGACCCUGCACAUAGCAGGGGGUUGGAACUCGAUGAUCAUUGUGGUCCUUUUAAACCCAGGCCAUUCUAUGACUCUAUGAAACCUACCGUAUAGUAUUUGUAUCCAUUUCAAAGAAUUCUUCCACAGAGGAGAUGUGAACUCGUCGGUGCCACAUUUGGUGCUGAUGUGGAGUCUUAUGGGAUGCUGCUCUUAGAAGAAAGGGAACGAGAGUUUCUAUUCUGCUAUGGUUUUGGAAUCUGGGAGCUGAUGUGGGCCACCCUGUAACUUAAGGAACUGGAAAUCUAAACAAGAGUGGAAAUGCAAGCCAAGAUAUUUAGGUUUUUAAACAAGUGCUACUACUAUCUGCUACAAAUCUUUUAACACUGUCUUCAAAUUACUGCUUUAAAAAUAAUCCAGUCAAGAGACAGUGCCUGUUGUGUUACAGAAAUGGAGCUGGAAUAAACUGUCCUUAAGACUAAACAUCUAUCCAGCUCACAUUGCUCUUCUUUUUACCUAGUACUGCUCAUAUGUUAAAUAAUACUUCUCAUAAGAUCAGACUAUGCUUGGCUUUUCAGCACAGUUAGUUGGGUUUGUUUGUUUUCACAGGCAGCGGCGUGAAUCCUCAAUUACAUCAUUUUCAAUUAUGUGAGUGUCAACGAGAACAGAAUCCCUUUGAUUUUGUUUUGUUGUAUUGUAUUGACUCACUGCUCCGAUCAGUCGGUAAUGCGUGUGAACACACCUAUACGUUGCUCAAUGCCUAUUACAUCAUGCACAUGAAGAGCCCCUUGGCUAUGCCAAACACAGAAAGAAAGCUGAGUGAUGCCCUAUCAGCACAUAGCAGCCCUACCAGCAUAAUUAAAGCCGUUUUAAACCUUUUUAUUUAGGUCUGUGAAAACCACUAUGGG